CCUACGGGAGACAGCAGUGAGGAAUAUUGGUCAAUGGGCGCGAGCCUGAACCAGCCAAGUCGCGUGAGGGAGGACGGCCCUACGGGUUGUAAACCUCUUUUGCCGGGGAGCAACGGGCGCCACGUGUGGCGUCACUGAGAGUACCCGGAGAAAAAGCAUCGGCUAACACCGUGCCAGCAGCCGCGGUAAUACGGAGGAUGCGAUCGUUAUCCGGAUUUAUUGGGUUUAAAGGGUGCGUAGGCGGAUCGUUAAGCCAGUGGUCAAAUUGAGGGGCUCAACCCCUUCCCGCCAUUGAAACUGGCGUUCUUGAGUGGAAGAGAAGUAUGCGGAAUGCGUGGGGUAGCGGUGAAAUGCAUAGAUAUCACGCAGAACCCCGAUUGCGAAGGCAGCAUGCCGGCUUCCGACUGACGCUGAAGCACGAAAGCGUGGGGAUCGAACAGGAUUAGAUACCCUGGUAGUC
RNAcentral lists this ribosomal RNA (460 nucleotides) under uncultured bacterium. RNAcentral's name for it is "partial 16S ribosomal RNA". It matches the Rfam family "Bacterial small subunit ribosomal RNA", at positions 338 to 795 of the family's 1533-position model. The record is from RNAcentral.